UGGGGAAUCUUGGACAAUGGGGGCAACCCUGAUCCAGCCAUGCCGCGUGAGUGAUGAAGGCCUUAGGGUCGUAAAGCUCUUUCGCCUGUGAAGAUAAUGACGGUAGCAGGUAAAGAAACCCCGGCUAACUCCGUGCCAGCAGCCGCGGUAAUACGGAGGGGGUUAGCGUUGUUCGGAAUUACUGGGCGUAAAGCGCACGUAGGCGGAUCGGAAAGUUGGGGGUGAAAUCCCGGGGGCUCAACCCCGGAACUGCCUCCAAAACUAUCGGUCUAGAGUUCGAGAGAGGUGAGUGGAAUUCCGAGUGUAGAGGUGAAAUUCGUAGAUAUUUGGAGGAACACCAGUGGCGAAGGCGGCUCACUGGCUCGAUACUGACGCUGAGGUGCGAAAGUGUGGGGAGCAAACAGGAUUAGAUACCCUGGUAGUCCACACCGUAAACGAUGAAUGCCAGUCGUCGGGUAGCAAUGCUAUUCGGUGACACACCUAACGGAUUAAGCAUUCCGCCU
Molecule: ribosomal RNA, 503 nt
Filed under: uncultured bacterium
Lineage: Bacteria
Description: bacterial SSU rRNA
Rfam family: Bacterial small subunit ribosomal RNA
Source: RNAcentral